Molecule: transfer RNA, 68 nt
Filed under: Marmota monax (woodchuck)
Lineage: Eukaryota; Metazoa; Chordata; Mammalia; Rodentia; Sciuridae
Description: tRNA.Ala
Rfam family: tRNA (bases 5-65)
About the family: Transfer RNA (tRNA) molecules are approximately 80 nucleotides in length.
Source: RNAcentral
GGAUUGUGGCUCAGUGGUAGAGCGCUUGCCUAGCAUACGUGAGAUGCUGGGUUCGAUCCCCAGCACCA